UGAAGACAAAGCAAAGCUAUUCUCAAAUCCUUAAGACACCCAGCAGAAGCUAUAAUUUUAGAGUUGGAGCCAUUUCAGCUGGAUUAAAGCAUAUGCUCACCCAGGUGAAAUGAAUUACAACUUUUAUCUGAACAGCUCUACUGCCGCUGUUGAGGGUCUGAAGAAGCAGUUUGAACCUCUCGAAACAGGUAAACAAACACAGUACAUGGUCUCAGUUUGCUCUGGUUGAAGAUCUGUUCCAUUACCUUCAGUGCCAAGACAGCUGGGAUCUUCUUAUCAUCCUUGUAUUGGGAUGACUGCAGCAAAGGCAUAAAACGCUCGCUUUCUUCAGGCAGCCCUGUGAAUAUCGUGCUCAUUUAAGAAGUAUGUAAAGAAGACAUCACCACUGGAUACAUGUUCUCUGGUAGCAAUCAAUGCACAGCAUAUGCUUUUGAUGAGGUUAGAUAACAAGCAUCACAUGGAGCAAGGAGUACCACGCACACACACCCUUCUGAAUAUGUCAGCAAUAAAAUGAGAACUACAAAGGUGAGCA
Molecule: long non-coding RNA, 532 nt
Filed under: Phasianus colchicus (ring-necked pheasant)
Lineage: Eukaryota; Metazoa; Chordata; Aves; Galliformes; Phasianidae
Description: lncRNA (ENSPCLG00000005607.1)
Source: RNAcentral